This is a long non-coding RNA of Mauremys reevesii (Reeves's turtle), 262 nucleotides long. RefSeq lists it as uncharacterized. The record is from RefSeq and is a predicted model, not a curated record. The transcript is spliced from 3 exons. Lineage: Eukaryota; Metazoa; Chordata; Testudines; Geoemydidae.
AGCCAGAAAGGUGCCACGUGACAGGAACAAGCCAAAGCCCCAGCGGGCAGGGUAAACGCUACCGGAGGGUAUUAGCUGUUACAUGGUUCCUGUAUUCACCCAUCAUCGUGGUGGCUUGAGCCCCUGAAGAUCUAGAAACAAUAUAUUUAAACAUGAAGGCGCCAGAAAUCCUGCUUUGGACAGCAACAGCAUUUCUAUCUUUGAGUUCCAGCCAGGGACAAGGCAGUGUCACGCAAACACAAGGGCAGCUGGCAAAGUUGGG